AAUGCUGUAUCGGCCGAAGAUAUCACCAAAUCACUUUUCCAUGUUUUACGAUAGUGACCCCAAACUUUUGGUCGAUGACAUCAAGGAUUAAUUUGAUGAUGAUGAUGAUGAUAAAAGUGUACCCACCAACAUCGCAAGGAUUACCUAUGGCUGCAGAAUCAUUCCGGAAGGGAAUGAUCUACCUGUUGGUUUGUUGUAGCAGGGUGAGUUAAAAUCGCUGAAUUCCUUCGGUAGUCAACAAAAAGUUGCUAGCUCAUGACAAAAGACUGGCUACUCCACGAACUUAAGUCCGGUCAUCAGUUCACAAAACUCCCGUAGGCUACCCCUCCCCGUGUGUGUGUAUACCCAGCAAUAUGAACAUUAAAAUUUUAGAAUAUUAUAAAACAGAAUGAUAUUGCAAAAGAGCGUAAGUAAAGAUAUAUAAUGGAAAAUAUUGGAAUACAAUUAAAAUAAAUUACCUGAUUACACCUGAGAGAGUAUGGGGGAUCAUGAAGUUAACCUUUAUAAAUCAUUUGUACUACACGUUGAAGAAAAAAGAACAAUCUCACCCAUACGACAGUUCGAAUCGUUCCAAUAGUUUUCUCCAAGAAUAGCAGCUGGAGCAUGCCACAGGUACACCAACCUCAACCUAAACGCUUGAUCCUUCUUGUUUCAACCACAGAAAUGCCUCUGCGUCUUGCUCCCAAAAUUCGAUAGUGAACUGGAAUCGCCACAUCAACCAGAGUUCCAACCAGCUCCAGCGGGAGUUGCGCAGCCAUUGCGUAGCCACGUUUGCGGAACUUUCUUUUCCUUCUUUUCCGCCUUGGACUAUUAAAUGGUCCGGUUAACUGGAUCACACCAACGUUCUUGUCAUCACAAUCGCAACCAAAACUGAUACACCAAUCGUGAACAUCAGGAUUUAAAAAUUAGAAAAAUUUGAUUAAAAAAUUGAAAAUAAAAAACAGUGAGUUGGCAUCAUCACGAGAACCAAAAAUAAUUUUCAACUUAUCCAAAGAAAUUUUUUUAAUUUCCUUCACGGAUUUGAAUCGUUUGUAAAACUCUGCAGAGAUCAACAAAACAUUUGUUGGUUUUUUCUUUUGCCGAAAAUAUACAGCAAAAGGACCAAUAAAUGUUGAAGGAUAUGUUUUCAUACGAAAAGGUUUGGAAGAAUUUUCCUUUGAAUUCAAAUUCUCCACAGGCAUUGUUCCAUUCCCGUCAGUUUCCAUAAUAGGAAAAUGACGGGGGUAAAUUAGUAAAGGAAGCACAAUAAAAAAUAAGACUAAUAAAAAUUAUAACAAUAAACUGAAAAUAAAAGUAUACUUCACCAAACAACUUCGAUAAAAGCUUGAAGGUUCAGCCGCUUCACACUCCGAACCCAGGUCAACGAAUCCAAACCACCGUCGAACAAUAAUCGAUAAGAAGCUUGAAAUUUCCUUCUUGAUAAUUUCUCCAAAGAAUUGAAAAACAAACUUGAAGUUGACUAGCUUCGAACUCCGACUACAGUUCAACGAACUCCACCCGCUAACGAACGGAACCGCAAACGAACGAAGCUUCAAAUUUCCUCCUUCUCCAAGACCGCAAAUCCAUAAGUUACCACCUUCGAAAACACCAAAACCAAUCGCCUACAAUCCGAUGCCACCAGAAAUCCGCCAAAUUCAACCGUCGUAGUCUUGAAAAUUUUCACUCCAGAAACGAGAAAAAACUGUCAGACGCAGGAAAAAUCCAACCGGCCAAGUCAAGGCCUACUGCUGCAAUGAUGACAUCAAGGAUUAAUUUACUUAAUAACUAGAUUUUUUAGCUAAGUUCUGUAAAAAGCAGUUGAAAGCUAAUAGAAAAUGGGUCAUAUUACCGCUCUCAUCUUAAAAUUUGGUCGACCCAACUUCCAGCGACACUACCGUAAGUUUAUAUUCAUUUUUUAGAAAAUUUGGCAACUUUGGGUUAAGUUUACAUACAAAAUUUGUUGAAAAAGUUUCUUUUAAAUCAUGUUCAAAGUUUCUUUGACUUAUUAUCUUUUGAAUGAGACCUAGGGUUUUGAAAUCGGACGCAAAUUGGCGGAGAUAUGGGCCUAAAAAAAUGACAUGUUUUUGAGGGGGUGACCCCAAACUUUUGAACGGGAGUGUAUUAGAGCAUUCCAAAAUUGCAUGAAUUUCUGCCUGGAAUACAGUUGGUUACUUUCCCAUGAGAAUCGACAAUUCUAUCCCUGGGCCAGUUACUCCUGAUCCCACUUUGUUGUUCAAUUUUGAACCGUCCGUAUAAAAGAUGAUCGAUCCCGGUCGAAAUUCUGGGCCAUCGUCUCGCCACGAGCUUCGAUCAGGGUUAAAAAUUUGAAACAGACGGUCAAAAUUGUACUUUUUCUCCAUCCAGUCUUCAUUGUUCACAACUAUGGAGUUUAUAUUAAAAGUUUUUAGAAUACUAAGAUGCUCAUUAGGGUCACCUUCCAAGAGGUUCGUAGAUCUUUUAAACCUUAGAUCACUCUUCCUAGUUUUCUCUGAGCGACGGAUUCCAUGGUUUUCUGCCACCAGACCAAUGAGGCAUAGGUAAUCCUUGUACUAUAGUAGUUUUUGAAGGAUUAAUCCUUCCCUGUCACACCACGGUCAAUUUUUCCACGCGCUAUUAUGACUUACAUCAUCUGCGAAACCAAUUAUUUCAAAUCCUUGUGAUUCUAAAUUUUUCAGAAGAUCGUUAACUAUCAAAGACCACAGAAGAGGUGAUAACACGCCUCCUUGGGGGCACCCAUUCACUGCUCUAACAGAUAUAGAGUAGUUUCCAAUGUUUGCUGAUAUCUCCCUUUUGGCUAACAUUCCAUCAAUCCAAUCAACAUCGCAUUAACUGAAACCUCGUUUUAUCAUGGCCGUUGCUAUUGAAUUGUGGGAUGAAUUAUCCCUCAAUGUCAAGAAAAACAGAAAGAGCAAUUUCUUUGGCAUUCAAAGAUUUUUCAAGUUUUGUAACAAGGUUAUGCAGUGCUGUUACUGAUGAUUUACCCUCUUGGUAAGCAAACUGGUGCUUGCUGGGAGGAUUCUCAAUAAGAUAUGAUGCUUUUAUGUGCUCAUCGAUUAUUUUUUCCAUAGUUUUUAGUAGUACAGACGAUAAGCUUAUUGGCCUAAAGGAUUUUGGCAGUGUUUUAUCCUUUUUAUUAGCCUUGGGGAUAAAAAUCACCCGUACUUGUCGCCACCCUACUGGAAUGUUACUUGAAGAUAAGCUGGCUUGGAAAAGUUUAGUUAACCCGGGAGGGGUCGCGUCGUGUACUGAGUAUACGCCCCAUGAAAAAUGCACGCUUGUGGUACACAGCGCGAGCGCGGCGUCGCUUCAGGUAAUCAAAGACGCGACUGCUCGAGGGUUGUUUGGCCAAAGCGCAACCAUCAAUCCUGUCUCUAUUUAAUCCAGUCGUUUCGCUCAGUAUUUCACGAUCAUACGCCCUGGUUUCAAUAACGCCAGUUUUUGAUACAGUCACUAGCGUGUGCAGGGUUCUUGCUUAGGGGGGCACUAUAAUAAUGGUGCAAUAUAUGUAUGAUCAAGGUGCAAAAUAGAAUUAUGGUGUUACACGCAAUAUGAAUUCCCAAGUAGGGGUUUCAACAUGUUGUGGUGCUAACAUCGCCAAGUACUUCAUAUUGGGAUUCUGGAGAAGGCUUCGGAUGGUCAUGAUUUCAAGGCAAUACGAAACUUUAAUAUGAAGUCAUUAUCUCGACUCUUAUAAAAUUUUAUAAACGUAUAAAAUACAAUGGAGAAUAUCUAGAAAAUUAUCAAUUAUAGAGAAAAAUAUUGUCGUUGUGGAAUAAUUUUGAUCCUAGACAAUUAGUGAUGCUAGAAUUGGAGAAUGUCAGAACAUUUUGAUCGGAAUCCUUGUUGCAAUCUACAGAGAUUCCUCCAGGAUUUCUCCAAAGAUUCGUGUUCCAAGAAUUCCCCCAAAAAAUCUUCCAAUAAUUCCUUCAGAAAUUCCUCCAGGAAGUCUCAUAUAUUUCUCCAGAAAUUCCUCAAAUAAUUCUUCUAGGAAUUCCUCCAGUAAAUACUCCAGGAAUUCUUCCAAAAUUACCUCCAGGAAUUCCUCCUGAAAUUUCUUCUAGGAAAAAUCCUCUAGAAAUGUCUGCCAGAAUUCCCCCAAUAUUUCCUCCAGGGAUUUCUCUAAGAGUUGAUCCACGGAAUCCCCCAGAAAAUCCUAAAGUAAAUUCUGAAGAAUAUCUUCCUGGAAUUCCUCGAUAAAUUCCUCCAGGAGUUCCUUCAGAAAAUUACGCAGGAAAUUCUCAAUGAAUUUGCUCAGGAAUUCCUUUAUCCAAGAAUUCCUGCAGGAAUUCAUUCAUAAAUUUCUUCAGAAAUUCCUCAAAAAAAUCCUCCAGGUAUUCGUUCAGAAUUUGCUCGAGUAGUUCAUUCAGACAUUCCUCCAGAAAUUCCUCCGAGAUGCCUCCAGGGAUUUCUCCUCGAAAUUCAUCCAUGGACUUCACCAGAAAAUCCUAAAGUAAUUUCACCCGAAACUCUUCCAGGGAUUCCUUCAGGAGUUCCUCGAAUGAUUCCGUGAGAAAUUCCACCAGAGAUUCCUCCAUGGAAUCUCCUAGGAAUUUCUCCAGCAUUUUUUUUCCUGAAAUUUCUUCAGGAAUUUCUCCAGGGAUGCAAUAAUAAAUGUCUUCAAGAAUUACUCCAGAUAUUCCUUCAGAAAUUCUUUGAGAAGUUCCUUCAGGCAUAUCUCCAUUAAUUUUCCAGAAAGCCUCAUAUAUUUCACCAGAAAUUCCUCUAAUAAUUCCUCUGGUAAAUACUCCAAUAAUUCCUCCAGAAAUUUCUCCUGAAAUUAUCUUUUAGGAAUGACUGUCAGAAUUCCUACAAUAUUUCUUCUAGGGAUUCCUCCAAGAAUUGAUCCUCGCAUUCCUCCAGAUAAUCCUAAAUGAAUUUUUAACGGAACUCUUCCAGGAAUUCCUCAUAGAAUUCCUCGAAAAAUUCCCCCAUGGAUUCCUCCAGGAAAUUCUCAAGGCAUUUCUUCAGGAAUUCCUCCGAGGAUUCAUCCAUGAAAUUCUUCAGAAAUUCCGCAAAAAAUCCUCCAGGAAUUCUUAAGAAAUUUCUGCUUAAGGAAGAGCGCCAGAAAUUCUACCAGGAACUCCUCCAGGGAUUCCUCUAAAAAAUCCUCUGGGAAUUUUCACCAGAACUACAGCGAUUUUCCCUUACAUUCCUCAAAGAAUUCCUCUAGAACUUUUUCAAGGAGUUUCUCAAGGAGUUCCUGCAGGGAUUCGUUAAAAAAUUCUUCAGGAAUUCAUUAAAAAAAAUCCUUCAGAAAUUCCUCGAGGAGUUCCUUCAGAAAUUUCUCCAUAUAUUUCUCCAGAAUUUCCCCAAAUAAUUCCUCCAGUAAAUACUCCAGAAAUUUCCUCAGAAUGACCUCCAGGAAUUCCUCCAGAAUUACCCCAGGAAUUCCUCUUGUUCUACAAAUUCCUCCAGAAAAUUCUAAAGGAAUUUCUCCCGGAACUCUUCCAGGAUUUCCUCCUGGAAUUUCUCGAGCAAUUCUUCCAUGGAUUCCUCGAGGAAAUUCUCAAGGACUUCUUCAGGGAUUCAUUCCUUCAACGAUUUAUUCAUGAAUUUCUUCAAAAAUUCAUCCAGAAAUACCUCCAGGAAUUACUCAAGAAAAUCCUCUAGGAAUUUCUGUCAGAAUUCCUCCAGGGAAUCUUAAAGGAAUGUUUCCCGGAACCCUACCAAGAGUUACUUCAGGGAUACCUCCAUGGAUUCCUCCAGGAAUUUCUCCAGGAUUUUUUUCAGGAAUUUCUUCAGAAAUUCCUCCCUCCAUGGAUUCUACAAGAAAUUUUGCAAGGCAUUCAUCCAGGGAUUUUUCCAGAAAAUCCUUCACGGAAUCCUCCACAUAAUCCUAAAUCAAUUUCUCCUAGAACUCUUCUAGGAAUUCCUCCAGGGAUACUUCCAUGGAAUCCUCAUGAAAUACCUCCAGGGAUUGCUGCCGGAAUUCCUACAGAAAAUUCUCUAAGAAUUUCUGCCAGAAUUCCUCCAAUAUUGUCUCCAGGGAUUCUUCCAGAAAUUCCUCGACUAAUUCCUCCAGAAAAUCCUAAACGAUUUUUUUCCGGAUCUUUUCCGGGAAUUUCUCUAGGAAUUCCUCCAGAGAUUUCUUCAGGAAUUCAUCCAUGAGUUUCUUCUGAAAUUGCUAAAAAAAAUCCUUCAUUAAUUCCUCGAGGACAUUCCUCCAGGAAGCUUUAAAUAUUUGUCCAGAAAUUCCUUAAAGAAUUUUUCCAGGAAUUUCUCUAGUUAUUCCUCUAAGAAUUCAUAAAUGAAUUUCCCCAAAAAAAUCUGGAGGAAUUCAUCCAGAAAUACCUCCCGGAAUGCAAACAUGGAUUCUCACAGAAAUUUUUCCAGAGAUUCCUGAAGAAAAUCAUCCAGGAAUUUCUCCAGGCAUUCGUCCAGGAAUGUAUAGCAAAAAAUACCUCAAAGAAGUCUUUCGGGAAUUCCUUCAGGAAUUCCUCCAUUCAUUCCUUCAAAAAUUUCUUCAGUAAUUCCAUCUUGAAUUUCUACAGGGAUUCUUCCAAGAAUUUCUGCAAGGUUACCUUAAGGAAUUCCUGCUCGGAUUUCUCCAAAAAAUCCUGAAGAAAUUUCUCCCGGAACUCUUCCUGAAAUUCCUCGAGAAAUUUUUCCAGGGAUUUCUACAGAACUUUUUUCAUGAUUUUUUUUCUGGAUUUUUCCAGGAAUCUCUCUAGAAAUUUCUCUUGGGACAACAAUAGCACAGUUAAACAUUUCCGGGUUUUCUUUCGAAGUUUGGCUAAUCGGUUAUUCCACCAAUCUUUGUUCGUGGAGAGUUACUUAGCAGUGCAACUUUUAUUAAAUGCAUUCAAAAUAAAACUAGAUAUUUGUUUUGAACUUUCUUCAAGUUCUGUGCAUGAGUUUGAGAUGGUGAGUAAUGUGUUUACUCCAGCUCUCAGCUCUGCAUUGUAAAGCUCCCAGUUUGCUUUUCUGGGAUCUCUUAUAGUUUGUGUGAGUUGUUUACCAGCCUCAUACUCGAAUAAGAUUUGCAUGUGAUCCGAUAAUGAUGCUUCAUCAGAUACAUACAUGCCAAUUUUUUAUUUUUUCCGAGAUUUUCGGACUACACAGUGUCAAAUCGAGAACUUCCUGCUUUAUUGCGUUUAUAAAUAUUGGUACUAGUUUACUAAAUGUAUUGUUAUUUCAAAGAAAAUGCCUAAAAGUAAAUAUUUCAAGAAAAAUUUUAAGCAUAAAUGUAUAUUCAUGUUCAAAGAAAUGGAUGGCCUAAUCGGAUUAAGCAAGCGGAUUGCUGAAAAGUUAGAAACAUUCAUUCAAAUUUUCAUUACAUGUGUGAUACUGUUAUGACAACGAAUUUUUGAUCGUGUCUUUAUAUAGAACAUAUAUAUGGGUCACAAUUUAACACGGAAGGGAUGUAAAACAUAUCAACACUCACAGGAAAUUUUACGUUUGAGCGGUGCCGCCAUCGCGGUGUAGAGCUUGAAACAUUUUUAAAGGAAAUUUUGUUACCUAAAAAAAUAAUAGGGGUACUCACGAAACAGAUUAAAUUGCUGCGUAAGCCAUGAUUUUCUGCUUAUUUGAAAUGUUUCACGAUUUUGCGAAUGAAAUAAUCAAAGAUUGCUUUGGUGAUCGCGACGUUUAUUCAGUUUAAUCAGUUUACGCUGUUUAGUGAAUCCCCCUAAUGAUUUACUGUGUGUACUUAGAAGUGCCAUUAUAAUGCGAGAUGAUCACAAUUAUCUGAGUUUUAUAUAUGUUUUCAUCAACCGUGCAAAUAUAUAUUCGUAUACAUUUUUGAGAGAUUUUAGGAGCACAGAUUUACACCGCAAUGCACUGUACGUCCCCAGUAGAACAUCAAUUUUUCAGCACUGUUUCACAUUUUUUGGAAUAACUCCAAAAUUAAUGUAAAUAUCGUUAUGAAUAUUGGAGUGAAAGUAGUGCACAAGUUGUAAAAUCGGGGAAAAUUUCCAAAUGUGACACUCGAGUGUAAAAAAAGAAAACAUCUUGAAAAAUGAGCCCAUUUUUUUAAGUUGACAUGAUAUUUCAUUACUUUUACAUGAUAUGUCAUAUUAACUUCUGUGACAUCCUACGCUCUUAUUAUGUGCAUUAGACCUGUUCACUUUGAAACUUUUUUUCUCCGAUUCUCCGUGACACAUCAAAUUGUCAAUCCACAUGCAAAAACAAGUCUUCAGUCCAAAAUUGAGCCAAAUUGAUAAAGAUUUAAAGGUGUAUCAAAUCGAUUUUGUGUUUUUAGCCGUUUUCACAGAAAUUUACUCAUAAAUCCAGAAAAUUGCUCCGAAAGGGUGAAAAUACCGUUAGGAUAUAGUUAGUACAAUACUCUACAACUUUGCCGAAGAUACUACGGUGUUUAAAUUGCUUAUUUCGAAGCUAUUCAAUAAUUUUGUUGAAAAAUCACGAAAAAACACGAUAUUUUUACGAUUUUACAUAUAAAAGUCAUGUAAUUUUACAUUAUUUUACGUGACUAAAUUAAUUAGCAAUUUCUCCUUUGUGUAACGAACAUUUCGUCCAUACACCGUUUUUGUGUAGGAAUUCGUUUUCAAUGACUAAUUAUCAAAAGUAUGUCACGUUGAUACUAAAAAUCGCGUAGAGUUGCCAGCACGAAUUAAAACAAAGUUACCCAUGAUUAAGACGUCAUGCCAUCGUAUUCUAAUGUCUUUUGAUUCAAGUAUCAGAAAUGGCGCAGUUGAUAAGGCUCGAGCCUGCGGAUCAGAAGGUCCCACGUUCAAGCUCAAAUACAUAAUAAACUUUUUUUUCUUUCUUUGUAGCAGUUAGGAUGAUGAAUCUGCCAUCAGCCAUGGCCCAUGACUUACACGCAAUCUCCCAAAUAAUGAUGAUCGGGACCUGCCAAUUAAGUCCAUUCCAGGACUAGCUAGAUAUUUAGUUUACUUGUUGACAAGAAAUCGUGUCGACGAGAUUAGCUGGACGAAAUAUUGGACAUCUGUUUGAUACCGAUUAAUUUCAGGGUUCCUGAUUUCCACUUUUUAUCUUCUUCCACAUUCGAAGACAGUCAGCAGCGAACGGUUGUCGCAUUAGUUCGUGUGUAUGCUUGUCAGCGACGACAGCAAACUCCGGCGAACGGUGGGAAGCCACACUUGGAAAUUACUCAUUCGUCAACAUUCGCAUCGCAAGCGAAUGCGAUUCGUGAGUGAUGCGAUUGAUAUUGUGCAUACGAAUUUUUGAUGUUUUCGAAUUAUUUUCUUUGCUAAUCUAGCAUUUCAACAACAAUACAGUAAAAAUGUAUGCAUUACAUGCAGAAAUUCUCUUCUACUUAUGAUAAUAGCCGCUUCGAUCGCUCACCAGCAUUUUUCACCACUCGCCAUUCAUUCAUUCGCUUGCGAUCCAAACUGCGACGAAUGGCAACGAAUAUUCAUGUCUAGCAGCUGGCCCAUCGCUUCCCACUGGUGAUGGGGUUGCGUGUUUGAUCACGACGAUCCGUUUGCUGCAUCUUUCUCGAUUCGCUUCAGCAAAGAGGAGUGAAUAUGAAUGGAGUGAGGCGAAUAUACCGAUCCUUGAUUAAUUUAGCUAAAACAAUUCAAUACGAUGAUGGAACUGCCUCUGGAUGCAAAAUUUAUCAUACAAUUGUGGAGAUUAUAUACUUGCAUCUAUCUAGCCACAAGCAACACAACUACACGAUGAAGGGAAACUUCAUUCUUACUAUGCACUCUACGGUUUCGAAGCAAGGGUCUGAUGCCAAAUUGCAAUGAGAUGCAAAGCGUAGUCUCAUUAACUUACAGCUGGAUCGAGACGCAAAAAAUCCUGUGCCAGGGCUCGAACCUUGAAUCUUCGAAUCAGCAGUCUCAUGCUCAACCAUCUACACCAAAUUGAAACUGAUGCACAUGCGACAAAGAAAUGUAAUGACGUUUCAAUCAUGGGUAACUUUGUUCAAUUUUGUGCUGGCAACUCUAUGCGAUUUUUAGUAUCAACGUGACAUACUUUUGAUAAUUAUUCAAUGGAAACGAAUUCCUACACUAAAAUGAUGUAUGGACGAAAUGUUCGUAACACAUAGGAGCAAUAGCUAAUUAAAUUAGUCACUUAAAACAAUGUAAAUUUACAUGACUUUUACAUGAAAAACCGUAAAAAUAUUGUAUUUUUUCUCGAUUUUUUAACGAAAAUUGUUGAAUAACUUUGAAAUAAACAAUUUAAACACCGUAGUGUCUUCGGCAAAGUUGUAGAGUAUUGUUCCAACUAUAUUUUAACGGUGUUUUCGAUACCUUUUCGGAGCAAUUUUCUGGAUGUUGGAGUACAUUUUCUUGAAAAUGCUCGAAAAAACACAAAAUCGAUUUGAUACACCUCUAAACCUUUAUCAAUUUGGCUCAUUUUUGGACUGAAGACUUGUUUUUGCAUGUGGAUUGAUAAUUUGAUGUGACACGGGUAGGCCAAAAAGAAGUGAACAGGUCUAAUGUGCAUCAUGUGUCACAAAAUGUGAUAUGCUCAACUGGAAAACUGGAGACUGAUAUGCUCAGCUCAUUAUCGACUAGACCCUCUUUCUAUCUGGGCCCCUCAAUUAUGAUUAUUUAACCCAAAAUCGAUUUAUCCUAUUCUGUUCAAGUUGAGACAAACCUUUGUCGCAUUGGGUGUAUUGUCGCAAUAAAUGCAGGAUGCGACAUUGUCAUUUUUGUUGCGUGAUGGUUGUAAUUUGAUUUAAUGAUUGUCAUGAUUGGUUUUCAUGUUAUUUAAAAAGUAUCCUCUUUACAGCAUCGAGUGGAAUUCAUUAAAUUCUAUUUACACCUCAUCUUAAUUGGUUACGUGCUGCAAAUUGUUAAUCUAUUGUUUGGUUGCAUCGGAGCUGGUAUCGACAUAAGAAACAGCGGCAAAACGGCUUAUGACAUCAGUACAGCAGCAAUGGUUACGACAAUGUCGUACUUUUCUUAUAUAUCAAUUGCAACUGUUCAAUAUACUUUGAUUGUUUGGAUACUCAAAGGUGUAAUUAGCACUAGUUCGAAUAAUAGCAUGCGUUUGGUGACGUCUGGGGAUGCAGCUUAAAUGGCCUAAGUUAAGAGUGGGGUAUUAAACAAACAUACCAAUAUCUAAAAUACAGUAGGUGCUAGUGUUCACACAGCUAAUAACAAGAUGUAUUAACCCGGGAGCGGUCGCGUCGUGUACUGAGUACACGCACCAAGAAAAAUGCACGCUUGUGGUACACAGAGUGAGCGCGGCGUCGCUGCAGGUAGUCAAAGACGCGACUGCUCGAGGGUUAACAUUCAAAAAUAAAUCUAAAAGCAAAAAUUAAAAACUUGCUCGACAAGGCAUAUUUUUACGAGCACCUUA
Molecule: long non-coding RNA, 11214 nt
Organism: Aedes albopictus (Asian tiger mosquito)
Lineage: Eukaryota; Metazoa; Arthropoda; Insecta; Diptera; Culicidae
Exons: 2
Source: RefSeq, a predicted model, not a curated record